AUACUUCUCUGCCAGGGGAGAUACUGUGAUCAUGAAGGUGGCUUUCCCAGGGCAAGGCUGAUCUAUUGCAUUCUGGAUGUGCUGACUCCUACGAUUUCCCCAAGUGUGGGAAACUCAACUGCAUAAUUUGUGGAAGUAAUGACUGUGUUUGCACUUUCACGU
This is a small nuclear RNA of Homo sapiens (human), 162 nucleotides long. NCBI's taxonomy places the organism in Eukaryota, Metazoa, Chordata, Mammalia, Primates, Hominidae. The record is from Ensembl.